CCACAAUGUUUUAUUUAGAGAGAAGAAAAGCUACAGUGCUUCACCAUGUACAAGAUGCGAUGCAGGAGCAUCUUAGUUGUCAACAGCUACGGUCCAAAUUGAAGAAAAUAGAUUCAAGUAAUUUCUAUUUGGGCUUUCACAUUUUAAUGAGAAGAUCCAAACUUCACUUAAGCAUUGCCAUUAUCUUCAAGAAAUGGGUAAUCAGUGUAACCAAUGACUGGAUCAGAUGUAUAGAAACUACUCCUGUCAUACUUAUUAAGAGGGGCACCAAGCUCAAAUCUCCUUGGCAAAUCCGGAUUGGCCAAAAACAAUCGACCGUAAGCAACAAGAUCAGCUCGGUUCUCAGCCACAGCAUCGUUUCCAUCAUCUCUACCAUAGCCCCCAGCAGCGAUGAAACUGCCAUUAAAUGCCUUUCUCAUUGGCACAAGACUUUGAGGACUUUCACACACCUCCAUCCCUAUUUUAAUUCUUGGCUCCACCAUAUGGCAGUAGAGAAUUCCGUAUUUGUUCAAGGCCUCAACCAUGUAGAGGCCUAAUGCUUGUGGAUCAGAGUCCACCGACUCCAUGAAUUCUGUGUAGGGAGAUAGCCUUAUUCCGACUUUAUCUGCUCCUAUUUCUUUGGCAACAGCUUCGACUAUCUCUAAGGCAAACCGGCACCGGUUUUCUAAUGAUCCCCCAUAUUGAUCUGUUCGAUCAUUUACUUGAUCUUUCAAAAACUGUUCUAUUAGGUAGCCAUGAGCUCCAUGAAUCUCAACUCCAUCAAAACCUAUAAAUCAGCCACCAAAAUUAGCACCCAUUUUAUAAUUUUAGCGAAUCCGAGACAUCCUCUAAGGUUUUUUAUUCAGAAUCUAGGAAAAAGAACAUACCAGCUUCCAUAACAUUCCUUGCUGCAAUUCUGAAAUCAUUGACAAUCUGGGGAAUUUCAUCAGUCCGUAAUCGCCUCGGAGGUGAGAAGUCCGCAAUAUCUACUUCACUAGCUCGCAGUUGUGGUGUCAACGCCUUAUCAGUAGAGGAGAUUGGAGCUUGUCCAUUUGGCUGCAAACCUGUAAACAUUUGCAAAUAAUAAACCGUUACAUGGUGCCCAAUGCCAUCACAUGAAUAUCACAAUUCACCAGAAAAGAAUCACGUGAGGCCAUGCUAUCUGGAAAUAAAGUUACAAAACAAACUUUGGGUAUCAAAAAGUAGUAUUUAUCUGGAUUCAAAACCUACGUUUUCCUUUUAUAUAAUUUGGCUAGAACCCUUACAUCAUAGCAUGCAGCAAUAAAGUAUCGGAGAUAAGAAUUCAGACAUUAGUGCAUUGAUUUUUCAAUCAUCCAUUCACUUUUGAAUUUUCAUGUAAAUGUCACUGAAUUUGGUCACAGACAGAGAAGACAAAAUGGAGGUGUUGUAAGAGAAGAAGAAGAAACCUGUAUUUGAAACCCUUCCAACAUGCCAAAUCUGACAAAAGAAAAUUCCACCUUUCGCAUGAACAGCAUCAACAAUGGGUUUCCAGGCCUCAACUUGCUCUUUCGUCCAUAUACCAGGUGCAUCUGGAUACCUUCAUUAAUUUGGGGAAGGGGUGUGUCAUUAAAUUGAUAUUUGAGGUUUAGAAAAAAAAGAGAGCAAAAUUUCAACUUUUUGAGAUUGAUUACCCUUGAGCUGUAUCAGAAACUCCAGUAGCCUCAGCCAGCAAAAGACCUCCUUUGGAAGCUCUCUGGGAAUAGUAUAGAAUGGCAUGUGGUUGAGGAACAUUAUUGUAAGAUCUUUGUCUAGUCAAUGGAGCCAAUACAAUUCUGAAACAAGACAAAGAGAGGUAAAAUUAUGAAGCUAGUCGAUCGAUUGCCAUUGGUAUUUUACAGCAAAAAAGUUAUGCGAAGUGGGAUUUUCAGCUAAACAAAACUAUGCUGAUUCAAUAGGAAAUGAGGGUUGAGAUUUUGCAUCAGAAAUUAUACAAACAAUAUAAUGGGAACCAAAAAGCUAGGAAGAAUGCAAAACUCCUGUUACUGAGAAAUCAGAAAAAAGGGUUUGUUGCAGUAAUUACCUAUGAGAAAGAUUGAAUUUGCCAAGUUUGUAGGGGGUGAGAAGAGGUUGAAUGGUGGUAUCUUCCAUUUCAAUUAAAUUGAACAAAUGGGUAUAAAUUGAUUCUGCUUGUAAGGAGUUAAAACACUUGUUUUGGUUAUGCAAAUUUGCCGAGAUAAGGAAGGGGAUAAUGGGUGGAGGGGCAUAUAUAAUAAAGCGGGAAGAAAGGUAAUGUAGAUGAUGACGAGGGAGAGUACGUUAGCAGUGUGUUCUAGUUUGCCAUUUUUGGUUUUGCAUCUUUAGGCGCAGCCCUGUUGACCAACGCUACACUCCCUCGCCCCUGCUUCCUUUAAAACCAAAAUGAAACCAGUGGUAAUCAUCUAUUUUUAAUUUCAUCGGUUUUAUUGCAUAAAUAUUAAAAAAAAACUGUAUAUUAAAAAAAAAAAAAGACACGGAUACAAUAUUAAUAACAUAUUAAUUUCAAAAAAAUAAUAUUUGAAAAAUAACUUUUACACAAAGUAGCAUAUUAAUAUGUUCAUAAUUUACUAAAUUCUCUAUAAAAGUAUUACAUGCCUUUGUAUUAAUAGUCUGAUUGCGUUCUACUCUUUUUACUAAAAAAUAGAAUUUUUUUUUAUGUUAGAUGAAAAAACAAAUUGAUAUUUUUGUUAAAAAUUUUUAUCCAUUUUUACUAUAAAAAAACUUGCAUAGCUCAUAAAAUAACCAGGCAAUUAAAUGUGACUUGCCAAUGUAUAACAUUUUGUAUAAGGAAUAAUUUUUAACCGUAGAUUGCGUUGUAUCCCCACAAAACCCCCUGUACUAUAUUGUGAAUUGCAUUUUUUCCCCUCCACUGAAAAAAUAAACAAAUUAACCCAUGCACGUUAGAUGAGGUAGCAAAACGACCAUUCCGUUAAAAUUUGAAGUUUAUAUAUAAGGUAUGAUAACAAAUUUAACCCUCAAUCUUUACAUAUUUAUUUAAUUUAAUCCCGACUCUUUUGUUGGAAGUAAAUUAAAAAAAAUUUAAACUAAUAAAGUUAAAGGGUCAAAAGCCUUAGCAAAUUUUUUUAAUAAAAUAGGAAAAGGGCAAAUAACCAAUAAAAUCCCCUUUAUUUUUAAAAUUACCGAAAUGGGUCAGGUCCUAAAUUAAAUACCAAAAUGGACCAUUUCUCCCAAAAAUGCGUCCACGUCAUCGCAUUAUCAGGGGAUAAAGCAGGAAAACGCUUCCUUGAGGGCGCGCUUUGUGUCCACGUGGACAAAGCGCUUCCCUGAGGAAGCACUUUUUCUGUUUGUUAGGGUUUAGGAUUUUUUACAAUUAGGGUUAGGAUUUUGGAGUUUUUGAGUUUUUAGAUUUUAGGGUUUUAAGGAAAAAUUAAUUAAAUAAAGGUUUAGGGUUUCUUAAUUAAAUUAAUUAUAAAUUUUAAAAAAUUUAUAAAUUAUUUAUAAAUUAUUUAUUAAGUCUAACUUUAUUUAAAUAUAGUUAAAUAUUAAUUACAAUUAUUAUAUUUUUUCUCGAAUUUUGAUUUUAAACAUCUAUAGUUUAAAAAAUAUAUUAAAUAUUAAAAUAUUAAAAUUUAUGUUAAAUUCUACUAAAUAAAGUUAUUAAUACCUAUUUAUAAAUCAUUCACUAACAAUCAAUAAAAUAUUUACCCAUCAUCUUAAGACCUUAAGGAAUUAUUAUCCCUAAAAUAUUCUAUUAUUAAUAUGAUUGUAUUAUAUUAAAUUUCAUGUAUUUUUUUUUGCAUAUUAUAUUAUAUUAAUAUUUUUAAUUUAUAAUAAAUUUAAAAUUAUAGCAAAAGAUAAAUUUAAUAUAUAUAUAUAUAUAUAAACUUUUAACUAUUUUUCUGUUUUUCAUAAAAAAAACUCUUUUUCUAUUUUAAAAUUUAAAAAUACAAAAAUUCUUUAUAUAUUUUAUUUUUAAUUUAUUAUUAAAAAAUUCUUUUAAUAAAUUUAAUUUUUACUAAAAAAUUUAAUUUUAUUAGUUUAUUUUUUUAGAAUAGUUUAAAAUAUAUAUUGAAUAACAUCUAGUUUUAUUUGAUUUUUUGUUAAAACCCUAAAUACUAAACCCCAAUCUAAAUUUUUUAAAAUUUAUAAUUAAUUUACUCAAGUAACUCUAAACCCUAAUUUAUUUGUUUUUUCCUUAAAAACCCUAAACACUAAACCGUAAUCUAAUUUUUUUAAAGUUUAUAAUUAAUUUAUUUGCCCUAGUUAAACUCUUUUAAAAUUUAAAAAUGAUUGAAAAAUCAUAAAAAAUAAAAAAGUUAUUAAAUUAUUAAAUAUAAGAUUUAAAAAAAAUUGACCCCUACGUCAUUUCAUUGAUAAGCAAGCCUAACGUCAUUGAUGAGAUAGUCCAUCCCUUAGCCGCCAAUGACCACCUUUGCUUUUAUGAUCCCACUUAAAUUUAAAUUGUAAUAUUUUUAGAACGAAUCGGUUGAAAUAACACUGAAUUGAUUUUAAAGUUUAAGUUUAUAUGAUUUUUUUUCCAAAAAAAGACUUUGGGUUCAUAUUAGUUUGUGUUUGUAGGUUUAAGGGUUUUUUUUUUAGUUUUGAUUAUUAUGAAUUUUUUUGUGUUGAUGGAGGAACCGAUUUUUAUAGGAUAAGUCAUGUCUUCAAAGUGUCGUCUUUGGGGUAGUUGACUCAAACUAGAGAUAAUCAUGGGCCGGGCUGGGCCGGAUUCGAGCUGAGCCCAUAAAAAAUUGUAGCUCGCUUCCUAGGCCCGGGCCCAACUCCUGCCGAAAUAUGGGCCUAAUUUUUUAGACCCGGCCCAAAAAUACUAAGCCCGAGCCCAGCCCGGCCCAACCUUUUUUUUAUGAUAGAAAAAAAUGAUUUUAUUAUUUUAAUAGCCUAUAUUUUUAUAAUUUUUAAAAGAUUAAAUUAACUUUUUUUAUCAUUUGAGGGGCAAAGUGUAAUUUUAGCAUUACUAUUUUAAAAUUUUAUAAAUUAUAAAGAGUUAAAAAAAGAAUUUUUAUUUUUAUUUUAGAGUAGAACCCUUGCCCAAAAAAUAUCAUAUCAACAAAUUUAACAAUACUAAUAAUUAAAAUUAAAUUUUAAAAUUUGAAAUAUAAAAAUUAAAAAUUUUAAAAUAAAAAUAAAAAAGAGGGAAGGGCUUAGGGAAAUGGGAAGUGGGGAGGGGAAAUGAGAAUUUUUUUAAAAUAUAUAUAUUUAUUAUAUUCAGGCUGGGCCAGGCUAGUCUCGGGCCAAAAAAUUUUUGCCUGAGGCCCAGCCUAUUUUUUGCCCAAACCCAUAUUUUGGGCCUACAUUUUUACCCAAAUCCUCCCAUAUUUCGGGCGGGCAGUUGGGCUGAGCCGGGCCGCCCGGCCAUGAUCACCUCUAACUCAAACCAUCAACAAUUGAAUGUAUGUCAGGGUUUUGUCCUCACCCUCCAAUGAGAGCCAUAUAUGGUUCAUGAAAUGGAGGCGCCUUGAUCGGUGGAGAUAGAUACCAACAAGACUUGAGAUAACUGUUAGUGUAAUAGCCCGAUUUUCAGUGAUGUAGGAAACAGUGGUUCGAGACCACCAAAUCCGAAAAAUGAGCUCAUAAAUUUUAUUAUUUAAAAUUUACGAGUAAAAUGAGGUUUUUAAAAGAUUUUUGAAUUAGAAAGUUUGUGGUCAUAAGGAUUUAUUAGAUUAAUUAAUUUGAAAAAGAAGUAUCGAGACCUCAAUGUUAAUUAAUUUGGAAUAGCAAUAAAAUUAAAGGUAAAUCAUAUUAAUUUUCACUCGAUUAUUAAAAACAUUUGUAUAGAUCAUUCGACUUCAAAAAGUUACAAAAUAAUCAUUUAAUUUAUUUAAAAAAAUUAAAUCCAAAAUUGUUAAAUACUUUAACCGUUAUGUUAAUGACUUAUUUUUGUAACAUUCAUUUUUAAUACACAUCAUUUCCAUCUCAUAUAAUAAUUUAAAAAAUAUUAACCCAAAUUACCCACCCGUCCCGCUCCCCUCCAAGCUCCCUCCCUUGGUUCAUGGUGCUGGAGGUCUAAACAAGAAUGUUCCUCCCACGAGUUGAAAUCUUGUGAAAUAAUGUGGAUGAGUUAUCAAAAUUUUAAACUCUGUAAUCUUAAUUAGUAAGAUAAGGUUAUUAUGGAAGAAAAAUGUUAUGACAUAAUUAGAAAGGAAAAAUAUUUUAUAUACUAACACUGCAAAAUAUUAAAAAAUAACUUAUAAAAGUAUCGUAAAAUAUUGUGGAAUAAAAAAAAUUACCAAAAACUUUAGUUUAACUACAAAAUAAAGAAGUUGUUCGUUCUUAAAAAAAUGUUAAUCAUUAAAUUAGAUGUUAAGACUAUUUAAUCAGUUUGUUCACUAAACUAUCCUUUAUUUAAGAAAAAAAUGAGAAAAUAUGGUCAAAUUUGGAAUCUUGACACAGGUUUACUAACAAAAUUAGAUUUUAAUAUUGAAUAAUAACGGUCCACAAUGUUUUAUUUAGAGAGAAGAAAAGCUACAGUGCUUCACCAUGUACAAGAUGCGAUGCAGAAGCAUCUUAGUCGUCAACAGCUACGGUCCAAAUUGAAGAAAAUAGAUUUAAGUAAUUUCUAUUUGGGCUUUCACAUUUUAAUGAGAAGAUCCAAACUUCACUUAAGCAUUGCCAUUAUCUUCAAGAAAUGGGUAAUCAGUGUAACCAAUGACUGGAUCAGAUGUAUAGAAACUACUCCUGUCAUACUUAUUAAGAGGGGCACCAAGCUCAAAUCUCCUUG
RNAcentral lists this long non-coding RNA (6676 nucleotides) under Gossypium raimondii (Peruvian cotton). RNAcentral describes it as "long non-coding RNA (GRAI_LNC006941)". The record is from RNAcentral. Lineage: Eukaryota; Viridiplantae; Streptophyta; Magnoliopsida; Malvales; Malvaceae.